CCACAGAGCCACUGCAGGCAGGCCUACGGACGUGACACGCACGCUGGUGGUCCCGGAGCCAGGGUUGAUUCAGGACACCAUCUUGGGCUCUUAUCCAGGAAAGAAAGAGUCGGCGUGCCUGGGGGCACCUGCUAGUCUCCAGCUGCAGGCCGACUCUUUCCUGGCCUGCUCAGCACCUGCCCAGAUGGCCUCUGCGUCUUUCCUGUGCCCAGCCCCACCUUUUCCACCUCUCUUCAUGUUCUCAUGGAGUGCAAAGUGCACCAGCCAGGGCCCCUACCUGGGAGAGGGUCAGCUGACGCAGGGCUGAGGGGGCUGCCACAGGGACGUACGCUGUGUGUUCUUACUGCUUAGAAGGGACGGGGUCACUCACCACUCCCCUGGUCUCCAUCUGGGCUCCUUGGUCUUCCCUGCCCCUCCCCUAACCGUGUUCUACCUGCCAGUGGAGCUGAGCACUGCCUAGCCUGGGCCAGAGGGGCACUGGACAAGGGCCUUUGGGGGACAGUAAGUCUGGGCCCAGCUUCUAGUUCUAAUGUGUGCAAGAUUAACUCACAAAUUCACCUCAGAAGGCCUUUCCAAAUGGGAGCUCCACUCUUCCCCUCCUCUGCAAAUCUUCACAGCCAAGGCCCCUUCCACCCUCUCCAGAGGUGGAUGAGAUCCCUUUUCCCCUCCCCUCUGAGGUGCUGACUCACUGGUAGGAGCCACCCACCAGAGGAAAGAUCUAGAACGUCUUUACAGAUUGGAGACAGCCGGGCCUGCUGACCCAUCAUCCGAAUAGCUGAAGCAGAGUCUUCCACCAGGGGUGCCAGGGCCUGGCUGGGUCCAGCGGCUCUGGGAUGAGCCUCCCAAGCAUCUUUCCCACUUGGGUGGCCAUGCGGCGCUGACAUUGGACAGGCUACGAAGAACCUGGUGCCUCAGGACCUCCUGGGAGCCAAGCUGGUCUGGCAAGGGCGCUCAGGCCUGGGAGAGAAGGGAGCAAUGGCCAGUCACCUUCACCUUCUAACUAACUAGCCUCCGGAUGAGGUGGCUGCCACCAGGCCCGAAUGAUCCCCAGGAGCCCAGCUUCCAAACCCCAACAUCGAAUCAAACAUCUCCAUCCCCAAGUGCAGUAACACACAAAAACCAAACACUCUGCCCUGGGAAAGGCCUGGUGCGAUUCUCAGUAGGACUCACACCCACCCUACCUAGAAGUACUGGGCUGGCCUGGGUACUGCAUCCGUGUGUUUUGAUAAGGGGGUGAUGUGGCCACGCCCUUAUCUAGAUUUCACUUUGUAUCCACUGGGCACAGAUAUUCUAGAGAACUUAUCUUUCACUCUUGUAAAAGCCACAUAUCCACAUCUCUUUCAUUUUUCUCAGUGUGUUAUGCAGCAAUUUAUUAAAGUAUUUAUUGUCUAAUAAAUACUGCCAAGUGGAAUAUAUUUAUAUAACUGACUUCGUGGGGUGGUUCAAGUACUUACUUAAGAACUAUGUGACACAACAGUUACAAAACAAAAGGCAGACCUUAAGAUCCGGAAUCAAUCCUUUAGCCCAGGUUCACUAAACUAAGCACAGUAAGGAGGAACCUGGAAGGUGAAGUGGAGAUGGCCUCCAGCCUCUACGUGGGAGGGACUCCCUUGAAGGCUGGGAGUGAACCUUCCUGGGAAACUAGGGUCAAGCCUCUCGGGAACA
RNAcentral lists this long non-coding RNA (1665 nucleotides) under Homo sapiens (human). RNAcentral's name for it is "HSALNT0049471". The record is from RNAcentral. Lineage: Eukaryota; Metazoa; Chordata; Mammalia; Primates; Hominidae.